RNAcentral lists this unclassified non-coding RNA (331 nucleotides) under Hevea brasiliensis (rubber tree). Lineage: Eukaryota; Viridiplantae; Streptophyta; Magnoliopsida; Malpighiales; Euphorbiaceae. The record is from RNAcentral.
UCCGUUUCAUCGCCGGGCUUGGCGCUUUCAGCGCUUCGACCACAGCCUAUGGAUUCGGUGUCGAGCCGGCCCGGCUUCGGGUCACGCGCUACAGCGUCGCGCCGCCGCGGCCUGCCGAUUUUCAUCUCAAGAUCGCCGUCAUCGCCGACCUUCAUGCCUGCGAUCCGUGGAUGUCGCUGGAGCGCAUCCAGGGCAUCGUCGAUCGCACCAAUCGCCUGAACGCGCCUGAACGCGGAUGUCAUCGUGAUGCUUGGCGAUUACGUCGCCGGGCAUCGCCAGGUGACGCGCUAUAUUCCUGCCAGCGAAUGGGCGCCUGUACUGGCAGGGUUGA